Molecule: ribosomal RNA, 253 nt
Filed under: uncultured bacterium
Lineage: Bacteria
Description: partial 16S ribosomal RNA
Rfam family: Bacterial small subunit ribosomal RNA
Source: RNAcentral
UACGUAGGUGGCAAGCGUUGUCCGGAAUUACUGGGCGUAAAGGGCGUGUAGGUGGACUGAUCAGUCGGGUGUGAAAUAUCCGGGCUUAACCCGGAGGGUGCAUCCGAUACGGUCAGUCUUGAGUGCAGGAGAGGGCAGUGGAAUUCCCAGUGUAGCGGUGAAAUGCGUAGAUAUUGGGAGGAACACCAGUGGCGAAGGCGGCUGCCUGGACUGUAACUGACACUGAGGCGCGAAAGCGUGGGGAGCAAACAGG